CUUGCUAUAUUUCUGUUCUGCAUUGUUGUGCACUUAUUACAGCUGCAAAAUCAAUGUGAGUGAGCAGCUCAUUGAACACAGGUUUCACAACGUUCUAUUUGUAAUUUAGGAGCAGCAUUGGGGAACCCGUGCUGCAAGCUGAAGGAAAUGAUGUGCUCUGCCUGCUCUGACCCACAGCAUGCUGGUAGCAGCGUUGCUGAACAAAAGACAUGGCUCAGACAAGCCGGGGAGCGUCCUGAGAAAAGACGUGCCGGGGUAAUUUCCCUCCAAGGCCGCCGUCGUCUCUCGUCUGAGGAGGGGGAGGAGAAAUAAUGGCUACUUUUUAAGGAUGGACAAAUAAAACAGAGGACUAUUUUCAUGCCACCUGGAACCACACACCUGUUCACCUAUUCUGGAUAUCAGCAACUUCAUAACUCUCCACCCUUUUGAGCAGUCUACUUGGCAGUAAAACACAAAAGUUGAAAUUUUCUCAAACAAAAAAAUAGAUCCACUCCAAGAAAACAGUUCUUCCUAACUGGAAAUCAAAGAAAUUGUUGCAUAUUAAUAUCUGGACAAACCUUUUCACUGAAUCGAUGCAUCUGGAAAGCAUCAAAUUUAGGUAAAAAGAAAAUAAAGCUGUUUGCAUUAAUAUCUGGAACCCAUUUUUAGAAUCCCUUAAG
Girardinichthys multiradiatus is the source of this 659-nucleotide long non-coding RNA. RefSeq lists it as uncharacterized. The record is from RefSeq and is a predicted model, not a curated record. The transcript is spliced from 3 exons. NCBI's taxonomy places the organism in Eukaryota, Metazoa, Chordata, Actinopteri, Cyprinodontiformes, Goodeidae.